GAUGAACGCUGGCGGCGUGCCUAAUACAUGCAAGUCGAGCGAACGGACGAGAAGCUUGCUUCUCUGAUGUUAGCGGCGGACGGGUGAGUAACACGUGGAUAACCUACCUAUAAGACUGGGAUAACUUCGGGAAACCGUAGCUAAUACCGGAUAAUAUUUUGAACCGCAUGGUUCAAAAGUGAAAGACGGUCUUGCUGUCACUUAUAGAUGGAUCCGCGCUGCAUUAGCUAGUUGGUAAGGUAACGGCUUACCAAGGCAACGAUGCAUAGCCGACCUGAGAGGGUGAUCGGCCACACUGGAACUGAGACACGGUCCAGACUCCUACGGGAGUCAGCAGUAGGGAAUCUUCCGCAAUGGGCGAAAGCCUGACGGAGCAACGCCGCGUGAGUGAUGAAGGUCUUCGGAUCGUAAAACUCUGUUAUUAGGGAAGAACAUAUGUGUAAGUAACUGUGCACAUCUUGACGGUACCUAAUCAGAAAGCCACGGCUAACUACGUG
This 497-nucleotide ribosomal RNA is filed under the name uncultured bacterium. Its description in RNAcentral is "partial 16S ribosomal RNA". It matches the Rfam family "Bacterial small subunit ribosomal RNA", at positions 28 to 507 of the family's 1533-position model. The record is from RNAcentral.